UACGUAGGGUGCAAGCGUUAAUCGGAAUUACUGGGCGUAAAGCGUGCGCAGGCGGGUCUUUAAGUCAGGGGUGAAAUCCUGGAGCUCAACUCCAGAACUGCCUUUGAUACUGAGGAUCUUGAGUUCGGGAGAGGUGAGUGGAACUGCGAGUGUAGAGGUGAAAUUCGUAGAUAUUCGCAAGAACACCAGUGGCGAAGGCGGCUCACUGGCCCGAUACUGACGCUGAGGCACGAAAGCGUGGGGAGCAAACAGG
RNAcentral lists this ribosomal RNA (253 nucleotides) under uncultured bacterium. RNAcentral describes it as "partial 16S ribosomal RNA". It matches the Rfam family "Bacterial small subunit ribosomal RNA", at positions 524 to 776 of the family's 1533-position model. The record is from RNAcentral.